GACGAACGCUGGCGGCGUGCUUAACACAUGCCAGUCGAACGGAAAGGCCCUGCUUUUGUGGGGUGCUCGAGUGGCGAACGGGUGAGUAACACGUGAGUAACCUGCCCUUGACUUUGGGAUAACUUCAGGAAACUGGGGCUAAUACCGGAUAGGAGCUCCUGCUGCAUGGUGGGGGUUGGAAAGUUUCGGCGGUUGGGGAUGGACUCGCGGCUUAUCAGCUUGUUGGUGGGGUAGUGGCUUACCAAGGCUUUGACGGGUAGCCGGCCUGAGAGGGUGACCGGCCACAUUGGGACUGAGAGACGGCCCAGACUGCUACGGGAGGCAGCAGUGGGGAAUAUUGCACAAUGGGCGGAAGCCUGAUGCAGCAACGCCGCGUGCGGGAUGACGGCCUUCGGGUUGUAAACCGCUUUCGCCUGUGACGAAGCGUGAGUGACGGUAAUGGGUAAAGAAGCACCGGCUAACUACGUG
RNAcentral lists this ribosomal RNA (468 nucleotides) under uncultured bacterium. RNAcentral describes it as "partial 16S ribosomal RNA". It matches the Rfam family "Bacterial small subunit ribosomal RNA", at positions 28 to 507 of the family's 1533-position model. The record is from RNAcentral.